GGACUGUGCAAUCAGUUUUCUGCUGCUGGCCCUGUGUGAUGCAGGAGAUGCCAAGCACACCCAAAUGAUGAUAGCACAGAGCACACCGUGUGCUGUCUCGGCAGCGCACAUCACAGCCGCGUUCCUCGUCCCCGCACCAUUCCGCGCAUUCCUCGUCCCCUCCGUACCAUUCGGGAGGAUUCACCAGGCAGGAUCAUCCAUCUGGAACUCCGCUGGUUCCAUUGAGCUCUCUGGCCGUGCCAUCCUUCCCUUAACACUGUUUCCACUCGGCCGCUGUGUUUCAUUGUCGGGCCGGCGCUCUGGGCCCGCAGCAUCCCGGACAAGUUGCGGCGCUGUUGGCCGGGCCAGGUGUCCCCGAGCGGCGCGGGGCGGAGCGGGGCGGAGCGGGGCUCCCGGCCCGGCCCUCCCCUCCCGGCACAGCGACGGGGCCAGCCCGACACAGCCCGGGCAGCGGGGCCGCCGCCAGCCCGUCCUGCCCAGCCCAGCCCAGGUUGAUAUGGAAAACCAAACAAAAACCCCAAAGAAAGGAGAGCUGCAGAGAGGUGAUUUGGGUUUGCAUGACGCAUCAGUCCCCAGCACUGUCCAGAUAAAAUGAAAACCAGAAAGCGCUCAUCUGACUGACUGCUUUGCCUUCUCUCAGAGCAGGGCAGAGACAAUUGUUCUGCUUCCUCCUCUCACUGUGUCUUUUCCUCAUUUCUGAGGCAACUCCCAUGCGGGAUCAGUGAUCUUUAUUUCCUCCCCUCCCGCAGUGAUUGCGGCUCCCGGCUUUCCGCUCCGGGGCUGUGGGGGCUCCUGCGGCCGGCUGGAGCGGCCUCAGCUGGCCAGAUGGCUGCAGGGCCUGUCCGAGCCACCCUCAGCUGGCCAGGGGGCUCCAGGGCCUGUCCGAGCCACCCUCAGCAGCUCCCAGGGGGCUCCAGGGCCUGUCCGAGCCACCUUCAGCAGCUCCCAGGGUCUGUCCGAGCCACCCUCAGCAGGCCAGGCAGUGCUCCCAGGGUCUGUCUGUGUGCUGCUCUCCUUCUCUCACCGUGUGUGGCUGUGGCUGCCGUGCUGGAGCCCACGUUGGCCCGCAGAGCCCAGCGAGCGGGGCGAGCAGCCNNNNNNNNNNNNNNNNNNNNNGCAGCCGGCGCUGUGCUCGCCAGCGCUCCCCGCAGCCUCCCCUGCCCGAGAAUAAACAGACGCCUCCUGGCUUUUGUAAACA
RNAcentral lists this long non-coding RNA (1198 nucleotides) under Serinus canaria (Common canary). RNAcentral's name for it is "lncRNA (ENSSCAG00000011845.1)". The record is from RNAcentral. Lineage: Eukaryota; Metazoa; Chordata; Aves; Passeriformes; Fringillidae.